RNAcentral lists this ribosomal RNA (321 nucleotides) under uncultured eukaryote. Its description in RNAcentral is "partial 18S ribosomal RNA". It matches the Rfam family "Eukaryotic small subunit ribosomal RNA", at positions 1470 to 1796 of the family's 1831-position model. The record is from RNAcentral.
CCCUUAGAUGUUCUGGGCCGCACGCGCGCUACACUGAUGCAUUCAACGAGCCUAUCCUUGACCGACAGGUCCGGGUAAUCUUUGAAUCUGCAUCGUGACGGGGAUAGAUUAUUGCAAUUAUUAAUCUUCAACGAGGAAUGCCUAGUAGGCGCAAGUCAUCAGCUUGCGUCGAUUACGUCCCUGCCCUUUGUACACACCGCCCGUCGCUCCUACCGAUUGGGUGUUCCGGUGAGCUCUUCGGACUGCGCGGUCUGCAGUUUCUGCGUUCCGUGCGGAAAGUUGCGCAAACCUUAACAUUUAGAGGAAGGAGAAGUCGUAACA